Molecule: long non-coding RNA, 207 nt
Organism: Fundulus heteroclitus (mummichog)
Lineage: Eukaryota; Metazoa; Chordata; Actinopteri; Cyprinodontiformes; Fundulidae
Exons: 3
Source: RefSeq, a predicted model, not a curated record
GAGCUGUCCUGCCUGGACGCCCGCUGGCUCCACGACUUCCCCCAGAGGAGCUGCUGCCAGUGUCACCUGGACCCGCCGACACCACUGUGGUGCGGUCCACCUGAUCCCCUCCCUGUGCUGCGACGAGCUCUGCAGUCUGGGCCACAGCCGGAGCACCAGUCCUUUCCAGUCGCAGAUGAGCCUCAACGACAAAAAUACACACCCAUG